This is a long non-coding RNA of Anolis carolinensis (green anole), 1266 nucleotides long. NCBI's taxonomy places the organism in Eukaryota, Metazoa, Chordata, Lepidosauria, Squamata, Anolidae. The record is from Ensembl.
GGACUGGGACUCAUAAUCGAAGCCUCUACUUUAAAACCUCCAGAGAAUGAGACACCAUUCGACUCCCAGGUAGCAGCAGAUUCCAGUCUCAAACAUCUCUUAUCACCAGGAAAUUUUUCCUACUGUUUUGGUGGACUCCCCCCCCCCCCCUGCAGUUUGACUCAUUCUGCGGUUGAUAUUAUGAAGGUGACACUAAAUACGGGCUACGUUUUACCAGAAGCAUUCCAUCUGAAGUUUAUCUUGAGGAAAUUUGAAAUACACAGCACUAUGAAAAAAAGUUCUUGUGAGAACAAUAAAAUGGUUUUACUAGCUCAGACUUGGGUAAACAAAGAAAAUUCUUAAGAGAACAAAAAUAAAAUUGAAUGACAUAGAGUAAAUAAGCAGGUUUUGUUGUCUGGUUGUGCUAAUAAACAGCCAUGGAUAGAAUUGCUGUCAUUGCAGGAGGUCAAUCAAACUCAAGUACAUUAAAUAUUUGCAUAUAUAUUUGCACAGACUUUCUGGAUGGAUGAAUUUUUCACUUCAGCUUUCUCUCCCAGAUUCUUAUGUUGAAUUUGCAAGACAUCCCCCCUCCCAUUUAUGAAGAAACCUGCACAUUUUGCAAAGUACAGGUUGCACUUGCCACAACACUGAACACCAAUGGGUGGUGGUGUGAGUUUCAAAAUGUUUACAGCAAUUAUGGGAACCUAAGGACUAUUUAGUCCUACCCCAUAUCCAAUUAAUCCAACUACUCAUAAAGUAUCCCUAAGCAGUGAACGUCCAUUCUAACCUCUCUCUGAAGGACAAUCCACCACUUUCUGAGGUAGACCAUUCCACCACGGAACAGCUUGUACUAUCAAGAUGUCCUCCAGAAAUUUUAGCUGGAAUCUCCUUGAGCUGAAUGAUUCUACUUCAUUUUACUUCAUUUCCUGAAGUUGCCUUCUCUUAACCCUUAUAAUUUAUUCUGCUGUCUAUUGGCUGAGUUCCUAGAUCAGGGCUAUGUAGCAUAAAUCUUUGCAUGUGAAAGAACUCAUAAAAGGUGCUACAGGAAUCAAGUUACCCUGCCAUGAAGGAAUAAACAACUGAAGAACUCCUAAAAGAGGACCAUCCACGUUCUGCUGAAAGACCUCUAAAGAAGGAGGUCUACUCCCUUUGAGGCAGUCUACUCUACUGCCGGAUAGCUGUUAGAGUCAAGAUGUUCUUCCUAACAUUUAAGUGGAAGCUCUUUCUUAUAGUUUAAUUCCAUUAGUUGGUAUUAUAUUACUUAGAGCAACAGUCAUCCCGCUCACG